GGUUAUGACGGAGCAAAUAACAU
This 23-nucleotide small nuclear RNA is filed under the name Arabidopsis thaliana (thale cress). RNAcentral describes it as "snRNA_18755". The record is from RNAcentral. Lineage: Eukaryota; Viridiplantae; Streptophyta; Magnoliopsida; Brassicales; Brassicaceae.